Long non-coding RNA from Pleuronectes platessa (European plaice), 1158 nucleotides. RefSeq lists it as uncharacterized. The transcript has 2 exons. NCBI's taxonomy places the organism in Eukaryota, Metazoa, Chordata, Actinopteri, Pleuronectiformes, Pleuronectidae. The record is from RefSeq and is a predicted model, not a curated record.
UCCAGCAGACCCACGGGAAGCUGAAGCUGUCAGUGUGUGAGAAGAAGCAGCCAUCUCAGACUCUUCAUCCCUAACAUGACUGAAACUCGACACCACAUUACGCACGUUCUCGUUCACUUUCACCCGCAGUUUUUUGAUUUCUCUUCCCUUCAGGAAAAAGAUAAGAUUUUACAUCUUAUUCUGUCGGACUUCCGAAGCUAACGCUCUAAAUUCUCACGUGCUUUCCCGCAGUUUGGCAGACGGUGUGCUGGUACACAAAAUCUAACCAAACACCCUGGCACACCUUGGAAUGCUUUACUGUCAUGCGCUACACCUGUGGCUGGAAAGUCGGCUCAUUUUCCAUGAGACUGGUCGUUUCUACACUACGUCAUGACUCCUACUUACGCAGCUAAUGGGCAGGGCGAAGCCCACAGUGUAAAGAACUGUGGAGGUGACAGUGCUGUUGUGGAACGGGUACUUGAUGCUGUCGUCGUUACAGAAAAAGCCCCUCUGGUAAGGGCGGAUCUUUCCCAGGUUAAAGGCUGCAAGAGGCAGACCUCCUGUGGACAGAGAUCAGGAGGAGUUAAGGCAGGAAGAAGUCAGACAUGGCAGAGAAAGUGAGGGUGCUGAGGGACAAUGGUGGAGGUCUUCAACUAUGUCAUCUUUCGGGUGGAGGUGAAAGAACAGCAACCUUUCUAGCAACUGAACUGAGAAUACUAUUAGCUCUUUUAUAUGUUUGUUAUUGCUACUAAACCCAAUGGAAAAACCAAAACAAUGUGCUAAAUCUGCCACAAGCCCACUCCUUCUGAGAAAAUAAACAUAUUUUUAUGUAAAAAUAUAAAACAUGAAUUCACAUUGUGUAUUCUGUUUACAUGGAGGUUUUCAUUUCAUAUCAGCAUUAUCACCAAACCAAUACAUAUUGGUCAGGCGCUAGAAAAAGUGUUAUAAUUGGUCAUUAACGUAGCACAGAGGGUUGUCACGUCUUUUGACGGAGCCUUGAUGGAAAAGUUAAUGGAUUAGGCUGAUUCGUUUUCAGAGUGCAAAGUCCACAGAGGAUAACACUUCCGUCAUUUCUCUGACUGUUCAGCCCAGAGUUGUUCUUCCAUUUGAGCAGAAGUUGAGGUUCUGUUAUAUUAUUGCACAUUUACAGUCCCAGUCAAAUAAAGGCAGAAAAAAGUC